RNAcentral lists this ribosomal RNA (494 nucleotides) under uncultured bacterium. Its description in RNAcentral is "partial 16S ribosomal RNA". It matches the Rfam family "Bacterial small subunit ribosomal RNA", at positions 28 to 507 of the family's 1533-position model. The record is from RNAcentral.
GACGAACGCUGGCGGCGUGCUUAACACAUGCAAGUCGAACGGUGAAGCGCCUUCCUUUUUGGUGGGUGUGGAUGAGUGGCGAACGGGUGAGUAACACGUGAGUAACCUGCCCCCUUCUUCUGGAUAACCGCAUGAAAGUGUGGCUAAUACGGGAUAUUCUGGGUCUGUCGCAUGAUGGGUCUGGGAAAGAUAUUGUUUCGGUGGGGGAUGGGCUCGCGGCCUAUCAGCUUGUUGGUGGGGUGAUGGCCUACCAAGGCGGUGACGGGUAGCCGGCCUGAGAGGGUGGACGGUCACACCGGGACUGAGACACGGCCCAGACUCCUACGGGAGGCAGCAGUGGGGAAUAUUGCACAAUGGGCGCAAGCCUGAUGCAGCGACGCCGCGUGAGGGAUGGAGGCCUUCGGGUUGUGAACCUCUUUCGCCAGUGAAGCAGGCCUGCCUCGUUUGUGGGUGGGUUGACGGUAGCUGGAGAGGAAGCGCCGGCUAACUACGUG